CCCCGUAACUUCGGGAGAAGGGGUGCCGGAUUAUAUCCGGCCGCAGCGACCAGGCCCAAGCGACUGUUUACCAAAAACACAGGUCUCCGCUAAAUCGAAAGAUGACGUAUGGGGGCUGACGCCUGCCCAGUGCCGGAAGGUUAAGGAAGCUGGUUAGGAUUACCGAAGCUAGCGACUGAAGCCCCGGUGAACGGCGGCCGUAACAAUAACGGU
RNAcentral lists this ribosomal RNA (213 nucleotides) under Pycnococcus provasolii. Its description in RNAcentral is "partial Bacterial large subunit ribosomal RNA". It matches the Rfam family "Bacterial large subunit ribosomal RNA", at positions 1726 to 1949 of the family's 2925-position model. Lineage: Eukaryota; Viridiplantae; Chlorophyta; Pseudoscourfieldiophyceae; Pseudoscourfieldiales; Pycnococcaceae. The record is from RNAcentral.